CAAGCAGUGCGAACACAUCUUGCUGACAAGCUCCGAGACUUUUACACGUGUAUGUGUGUCAACGUCACUGCAAUGACGAGAAUUGUACCAAUUUAUGCAAAAAGAACGAAAGCUAUUGCACGUAAAUGCUCCUCUGACAUCCACAGCUACAACAUCCGAAACACACAGAACUUACAUUUGGAACACGUCGAGAAAAGAUAAGCCGACAUUCGGCUACCAUGUUGUUAACGACUGGAACAGUCUGACUGUGGAACACCGGGAAAUACGGAACAAUUUGCAUAAUCGGAAAUUGAACUUAACAGAAACAUUUGACACUAGCUAUAUAAGACACUCUGCUGAAGUGAUAGGACGCGAUAUAACAUAGCGAUAUAUUUAACAAUACAGUAACUUCAAUUAUUUUUCUCUCAGGGCUCCACUGAAAAUCACUUUGUGAGUGGACCUCCUGAUUCAAUAUUGUAGUUAUUAUUAUUAUUA
Paramuricea clavata is the source of this 474-nucleotide non-coding RNA. NCBI's taxonomy places the organism in Eukaryota, Metazoa, Cnidaria, Anthozoa, Malacalcyonacea, Plexauridae. The record is from the annotation of a GenBank genome assembly.